UACGUAGGGACCGAGCGUUGUCCGGAAUCAUUGGGCGUAAAGAGCGUGUAGGCGGCCACUUAAGUCCUGCGUGAAAUCUUGCGGCUCAACCGCAAGCGGUCGUGGGAAACUGGGUGGCUAGAGUGCGGGAGAGGAGAGUGGAAUUCCUGGUGUAGCGGUGGAAUGCGCAGAUAUCAGGAGGAACACCGGUGGCGAAGGCGGGUCUCUGGGCCGAUACUGACGCUGAGGAGCGAAAGCAUGGGUAGCGAACAGG
RNAcentral lists this ribosomal RNA (253 nucleotides) under uncultured bacterium. RNAcentral's name for it is "partial 16S ribosomal RNA". It matches the Rfam family "Bacterial small subunit ribosomal RNA", at positions 524 to 776 of the family's 1533-position model. The record is from RNAcentral.